This 213-nucleotide long non-coding RNA is filed under the name Gallus gallus (chicken). Lineage: Eukaryota; Metazoa; Chordata; Aves; Galliformes; Phasianidae. The record is from RNAcentral.
UGACAAUAAGAUCCUGUCCAUUGGAAAUUCGAUCCACAGUAAGGCACAUGACAGGACCCAGGUGACCAGUUAGCUUCCCUGUAGACUGAAAUCUUUUCAGGUCCCACAUCCUCACUGAAUUUCCAGCAGCUGCAUAGAGGAAUGUGCCAGUUGGAUUUAGUGCAAUCUGAUUAAUCUGAUUCUCUCCAGCUGGGAUAGUGACUGUUCUGUUUG